GGCCCCAUAGUUCAAUGGAUAGAACAAAUCCGUCCUAAGGAUAAGAUGUGCGUUCGAUUCGUGCUGGGGCCACUA
Molecule: transfer RNA, 75 nt
Filed under: Candidatus Magasanikiibacteriota bacterium
Lineage: Bacteria; Candidatus Magasanikiibacteriota
Description: Candidatus Magasanikbacteria bacterium tRNA-Arg
Rfam family: tRNA
About the family: Transfer RNA (tRNA) molecules are approximately 80 nucleotides in length. Their secondary structure includes four short double-helical elements and three loops (D, anti-codon, and T loops).
Source: RNAcentral